CCUUCUUCCCCGUCACGGCCACAGCGAAUCCCGUGGGCUGCCCGGCAGGGCCUGCGCCCGCCGCCCGCCCCCGGCACUGGCCAGGGAAGGGGCCGCGUUGCGCGGGGAGACCCCGCAGGCCAGGACCGGGGCCGGGACCGGGCGGAGCGCGGCGGGGCCUCACCUCCAGCUUGUCGAGCACACCAACAUCCCUGUUGAGUGCAGAAGCCUCCUGGGAACUUGCUGUGGGCAUGAAAGAGAAGCAAUACACAAGAUCCAUUGCUCUGAGGAAAACUGGAGAGCUAAGUGGUGGGAAGAGCAGAAAGUAGAAAAUAUUCUACCUUAGUACUGAGGUCUGCUGCUGCUCAUUCUACUUAAGUGAGGUUAUUACCAGGAGCAGCUGUCAAGUUCAAGGAGUGAUACAUAACUUGGCUG
Long non-coding RNA from Corvus hawaiiensis (hawaiian crow), 414 nucleotides. RefSeq lists it as uncharacterized. The transcript has 4 exons. The record is from RefSeq and is a predicted model, not a curated record. NCBI's taxonomy places the organism in Eukaryota, Metazoa, Chordata, Aves, Passeriformes, Corvidae.